UUUAUACUCCCUCCGUCUCAAAAUUCUUGUCUUAAAUUCGUCUAGAUACGGAUGUAUCUAAUACUAAAAUGUGACUUGAUACAUCCGUAUUUAGACAAAUCUAAAACGAGAAUUUUGGGACGGAGGGAGUAUGAU
This is a non-coding RNA of Triticum urartu, 135 nucleotides long. Lineage: Eukaryota; Viridiplantae; Streptophyta; Magnoliopsida; Poales; Poaceae. The record is from Rfam.